This 504-nucleotide ribosomal RNA is filed under the name uncultured bacterium. RNAcentral describes it as "partial 16S ribosomal RNA". It matches the Rfam family "Bacterial small subunit ribosomal RNA", at positions 30 to 523 of the family's 1533-position model. The record is from RNAcentral.
AUUGAACGCUGGCGGCAUGCCUUACACAUGCAAGUCGAACGGCAGCAUGGAGAGCUUGCUCUCUGAUGGCGAGUGGCGAACGGGUGAGUAAUGCAUCGGAACGUACCGUGUAAUGGGGGAUAACGUAGCGAAAGUUACGCUAAUACCGCCUACGACCUGAGGGUGAAAGCAGGGGAUCGCAAGACCUUCCGUUCUACGAGCGGACGAUGUCAGAUUAGCUAGUUGGUGAGGUAAAGGCUCACCAAGGCGACGAUCUGUAGGGGGUCUGAGAGGAUGAUCCGCCACACUGGGACUGAGACACGGCCCAGACUCCUACGGGAGGCAGCAGUGGGGAAUUUUGGACAAUGGGGGCAACCCUGAUCCAGCCAUGCCGCGUGAGUGAAGAAGGCCUUCGGGUUGUAAAGCUCUUUCGGCCGGGAAGAAAUCGCACAGGCUAAUACUCUGUGUGGAUGACGGUACCGGCAUAAGAAGCACCGGCUAACUACGUGCCAGCCGCCGCAGUAA